CCUACGGGUGGCUGCAGUGAGGAAUAUUGGUCAAUGGUCGAGAGCCUGAACCAGCCAAGUCGCGUGAGGGAGUACUGCCCUAUGGGUUGUAAACCUCUUUUGUCGGGGAGCAAAAGCCGGACGUGUCCGGCUGUUAGAUUACCCGAAGAAAAAGCAUCGGCUAACUCCGUUCCAGCAGCCGCGGUAAUACGGAGGAUGCGAGCGUUAUCCGGAUUUAGUGGGUUUAAAGGGUGCGCCGGCGGUUUUUUAAGUCAGCGGUAAAAUCGUGGGGCUCAACCCCAUCCAGCCGUUGAAACUGGUGAUCGAGAGUGUGAGAGAGGUAUGCGGAAUGCGGGGUGUAGCGGUGAAAUGCAUAGAGAUCACGCAGAACGCCGAUUGCGAAGGCAGCAUACCGGUGCACAACUGACGCUCAGGCACGAAAGCGUGGGUAUCGAACAGGAUUAGAUACCCGGGUAGUC
RNAcentral lists this ribosomal RNA (458 nucleotides) under uncultured bacterium. Its description in RNAcentral is "partial 16S ribosomal RNA". It matches the Rfam family "Bacterial small subunit ribosomal RNA", at positions 338 to 795 of the family's 1533-position model. The record is from RNAcentral.